Molecule: transfer RNA, 77 nt
Filed under: Bacteroidetes bacterium SW_11_45_7
Lineage: Bacteria; Pseudomonadati; Bacteroidota
Description: tRNA-Arg
Rfam family: tRNA
About the family: Transfer RNA (tRNA) molecules are approximately 80 nucleotides in length. Their secondary structure includes four short double-helical elements and three loops (D, anti-codon, and T loops). Further hydrogen bonds mediate the characteristic L-shaped molecular structure. tRNAs have two regions of fundamental functional importance: the anti-codon, which is responsible for specific mRNA codon recognition, and the 3' end, to which the tRNAs corresponding amino acid is attached (by aminoacyl-tRNA synthetases). tRNAs cope with the degeneracy of the genetic code in two manners: having more than one tRNA (with a specific anti-codon) for a particular amino acid; and 'wobble' base-pairing, i.e. permitting non-standard base-pairing at the 3rd anti-codon position.
Source: RNAcentral
GGCCCCUUAGUUCAACUGGAUAGAAUGUCAGAUUCCGGUUCUGAAGGUUGCAGGUUCGAAUCCUGCAGGGGUCACUA